CCGCGGUAUCCUAACCGUGCAAAGGUAGCGUAAUCACUUGUCUCCUAAAUAGGGACCAGUAUGAACGGCUAAAUGAGGACUAAUCUGUCUCCUUUAAUUAAUCAGUGAAACUGAUCUACCAGUACAAAAGCUGGUAUUAUAUCAUAAGACGAGAAGACCCUGUGGAGCUUUAAAUUGAAGACCAAAACAGAAACUCUAAAACCCAACUAAUGGUCCAAAAUUUUAAGUUGGGGCGACUUCGGAACAAAACAAAACUUCCGAGCAUAAAGGAACAAACCUCACCAAGACUAACAAGUCAAAACAAAACUAGACCCAGUAUAACUGAUUACCGAACCAAGUUACCCCAGGGAUAACAGCGCAAUCUUCUUCAAGAGUUCAUAUCGACAAGAAGGUUUACGACCUCGAUGUUGGAUCAGGACACCCAAAUGGUGCAGCAGCUAUUAAAGG
This 447-nucleotide ribosomal RNA is filed under the name Phrynosoma orbiculare (mountain horned lizard). Its description in RNAcentral is "partial 12S ribosomal RNA". It matches the Rfam family "Bacterial large subunit ribosomal RNA", at positions 1931 to 2571 of the family's 2925-position model. The record is from RNAcentral. Lineage: Eukaryota; Metazoa; Chordata; Lepidosauria; Squamata; Phrynosomatidae.